RNAcentral lists this ribosomal RNA (256 nucleotides) under uncultured bacterium. RNAcentral describes it as "partial 16S ribosomal RNA". It matches the Rfam family "Bacterial small subunit ribosomal RNA", at positions 524 to 777 of the family's 1533-position model. The record is from RNAcentral.
UACGGGGAAGGGCAAGCGUUGUUCGGAUUUACUGGGCGUAAAGGGCGCGUAGGCGGCCAGCACAAGUCAGUUGUGAAAUCUCCGAGCUUAACUCGGAACGGUCAACUGAUACUGUGCGGCUAGAGUGCGGAAGGGGCAACUGGAAUUCUUGGUGUAGCGGUGAAAUGCGUGGAUAUCGAGAGGAACACCUGCGGCGAAGGCGGGUUGCUGGGCUGAUACUGACGCUGAGGCGCGAAAGCCAGGGGAGCGAACGGGG